RNAcentral lists this ribosomal RNA (1439 nucleotides) under Salmonella enterica. Its description in RNAcentral is "bacterial SSU rRNA". It matches the Rfam family "Bacterial small subunit ribosomal RNA". RNAcentral also lists the same sequence under 1 other name. The record is from RNAcentral. Lineage: Bacteria; Pseudomonadati; Pseudomonadota; Gammaproteobacteria; Enterobacterales; Enterobacteriaceae.
UGAGUAAUGUCUGGGAAACUGCCUGAUGGAGGGGGAUAACUACUGGAAACGGUGGCUAAUACCGCAUAACGUCGCAAGACCAAAGAGGGGGACCUUCGGGCCUCUUGCCAUCAGAUGUGCCCAGAUGGGAUUAGCUAGUUGGUGAGGUAACGGCUCACCAAGGCGACGAUCCCUAGCUGGUCUGAGAGGAUGACCAGCCACACUGGAACUGAGACACGGUCCAGACUCCUACGGGAGGCAGCAGUGGGGAAUAUUGCACAAUGGGCGCAAGCCUGAUGCAGCCAUGCCGCGUGUAUGAAGAAGGCCUUCGGGUUGUAAAGUACUUUCAGCGGGGAGGAAGGUGUUGUGGUUAAUAACCGCAGCAAUUGACGUUACCCGCAGAAGAAGCACCGGCUAACUCCGUGCCAGCAGCCGCGGUAAUACGGAGGGUGCAAGCGUUAAUCGGAAUUACUGGGCGUAAAGCGCACGCAGGCGGUCUGUCAAGUCGGAUGUGAAAUCCCCGGGCUCAACCUGGGAACUGCAUUCGAAACUGGCAGGCUUGAGUCUUGUAGAGGGGGGUAGAAUUCCAGGUGUAGCGGUGAAAUGCGUAGAGAUCUGGAGGAAUACCGGUGGCGAAGGCGGCCCCCUGGACAAAGACUGACGCUCAGGUGCGAAAGCGUGGGGAGCAAACAGGAUUAGAUACCCUGGUAGUCCACGCCGUAAACGAUGUCUACUUGGAGGUUGUGCCCUUGAGGCGUGGCUUCCGGAGCUAACGCGUUAAGUAGACCGCCUGGGGAGUACGGCCGCAAGGUUAAAACUCAAAUGAAUUGACGGGGGCCCGCACAAGCGGUGGAGCAUGUGGUUUAAUUCGAUGCAACGCGAAGAACCUUACCUGGUCUUGACAUCCACAGAAGAAUCCAGAGAUGGAUUUGUGCCUUCGGGAACUGUGAGACAGGUGCUGCAUGGCUGUCGUCAGCUCGUGUUGUGAAAUGUUGGGUUAAGUCCCGCAACGAGCGCAACCCUUAUCCUUUGUUGCCAGCGGUCCGGCCGGGAACUCAAAGGAGACUGCCAGUGAUAAACUGGAGGAAGGUGGGGAUGACGUCAAGUCAUCAUGGCCCUUACGACCAGGGCUACACACGUGCUACAAUGGCGCAUACAAAGAGAAGCGACCUCGCGAGAGCAAGCGGACCUCAUAAAGUGCGUCGUAGUCCGGAUUGGAGUCUGCAACUCGACUCCAUGAAGUCGGAAUCGCUAGUAAUCGUGGAUCAGAAUGCCACGGUGAAUACGUUCCCGGGCCUUGUACACACCGCCCGUCACACCAUGGGAGUGGGUUGCAAAAGAAGUAGGUAGCUUAACCUUCGGGAGGGCGCUUACCACUUUGUGAUUCAUGACUGGGGUGAAGUCGUAACAAGGUAACCGUAGGGGAACCUGCGGUUGGAUCACCUCCUUACCUUAAAGAA